This 427-nucleotide ribosomal RNA is filed under the name uncultured bacterium. Its description in RNAcentral is "partial 16S ribosomal RNA". It matches the Rfam family "Bacterial small subunit ribosomal RNA", at positions 354 to 796 of the family's 1533-position model. The record is from RNAcentral.
GUGGGGAAUAUUGGGCAAUGGGGGAAACCCUGACCCAGCAACGCCGCGUGAAGGAAGAAGGCUUUCGGGUUGUAAACUUCUUUUAUGAGGGACGAAGAAGUGACGGUACCUCAUGAAUAAGCCACGGCUAACUACGUGCCAGCAGCCGCGGUAAUACGUAGGUGGCAAGCGUUGUCCGGAUUUACUGGGUGUAAAGGGCGCGUAGGCGGGAUAGCAAGUCAGGUGUGAAAUCCGGGGGCUUAACCCUCGAACUGCACUUGAAACUGUUAUUCUUGAGUGAUGGAGAGGCAAGCGGAAUUCCUAGUGUAGCGGUGAAAUGCGUAGAUAUUAGGAGGAACACCAGUGGCGAAGGCGGCUUGCUGGACAUUAACUGACGCUGAGGCGCGAAAGCGUGGGGAGCAAACAGGAUUAGAAACCCUUGUAGUCC